UACGGAGGGUGCAAGCGUUAUCCGGAUUUAUUGGGUUUAAAGGGUGCGUAGGCGGUUAUAUAAGUCAGCGGUGAAAUUUUUCGGCUCAACCGGAAACAUGCCGUUGAUACUGUAUAGCUUGAAUAUGGUUGCUGUGAGUGGAAUGUGUAGUGUAGCGGUGAAAUGCUUGGAUAUUACACAGAAUAUCGAUUGCGAAGGCAACUCACAAAGCCAAUAUUGACGCUGAGGCACGAAAGUGUGGGGAUCAAACAGGAUUAGAAACCCCUGUAGU
RNAcentral lists this ribosomal RNA (271 nucleotides) under uncultured bacterium. RNAcentral describes it as "partial 16S ribosomal RNA". It matches the Rfam family "Bacterial small subunit ribosomal RNA", at positions 524 to 794 of the family's 1533-position model. The record is from RNAcentral.